This 404-nucleotide long non-coding RNA is filed under the name Prunus persica (peach). Its description in RNAcentral is "long non-coding RNA (PPER_LNC005655)". The record is from RNAcentral. Lineage: Eukaryota; Viridiplantae; Streptophyta; Magnoliopsida; Rosales; Rosaceae.
UGUUGGGGUAGAUGGCAUUGGGAAGAAGCUUGUGAACUCAAAAGAAGGUCCCCCAACUUUUGAACAGCCUAAAAUGACAGUGGAGAAGCUCCUUCACUAUGGUCAAAUGCUGGUUCAGGAGCAGGACAAUGUGAAGAGAGUUCAACUGGCUGACAAGUACUUGAGUGAUGCAGCCCUUGGAGAUGCAAACCAGGACGCCAUUAAGAGAGGAGAAUUCUAUGGUUAGUACACUUUGUCUUAACACAACAACCCUAGAGGCACCAACUUGUGUCCCAACUUUUUAAAUCUGAAGUGAUGUAGCGGAAUUUCAUUCGUUUAAAUUUGGGGCAGAUUUUCCUUACCAAAUCUGAACUAUAGUAGUUUGUUCAAGUUUUCUGUAAAUUUUUUGAUGCAGGCAAGGCAGC